Long non-coding RNA from Mus caroli (Ryukyu mouse), 690 nucleotides. RefSeq lists it as uncharacterized. NCBI's taxonomy places the organism in Eukaryota, Metazoa, Chordata, Mammalia, Rodentia, Muridae. The record is from RefSeq and is a predicted model, not a curated record.
CGGUCUGCGCCUGCGCGCUCGGCCCCGGGAGGCGCGAGCCACCGGUCGGCUGAGGCUGGGCGGCCUCGCCCUCGGCCGCUCCCGUCAGCGCUCGGCAACGGCUCGCUGCGGAGUGGCAGGUGACUGAUGUGAGGCAAGCGUGGGGAGUAAGAGAAGGCAAUGUGAGCAGGCCUGGAGAGCAUGACACCCAGCAGCACCCCAAGGCCUUUUCAUGAGCUCCCACCUCCAGAUUACAGCGCUGACUUUCCUUCACAAUGGACUGAGAUGUGGAGGAAUCCACGGAGUUUCUUCAUUCGGGCCUCGCUCCUGCCACAGAUGUCACAAAGGAGAAACAGAAUGGAAGUACAAGAAAGCAUGUAUCCUCCCAAAAGUAUUAAUCCCUUAAAGAUGGACUCCAAUGAAAACAACUUCCAGAAAAGUCAAAAGAAUGAUUAAAAUUGCACUCAAGAAAAACAAAGAGAAUCCAAAGCUGAAUGAACUAAAGUUGCCAAUACAAAAUAUGAAAACAGAAGUCAAUAAAGAGAAUUGCCGAUAAAAAGUCAAAGUGAAAUGAUGGGAAGUAAAACACUCAGUAAGCCAACUAGAAACCACCGAGGAAAGCCUCAGCAACAGACAGAUCACAUAGAAAACAGUGCUGGAACCAGAGGGCAAGGGGCAUGAUUCUGCCAGCUGAAGAUAAUUUGCACUUGG